CAAGUAAUCGACCUACCUUCUAGUUUUCUUUCUAUUAUAUCAUCAUAGAACGCUUAAGCAUGGGAUGAACUCUAAUGGAAAGCCUCAAGGCCUACACCUAAGGCCCCACAAAGGCAUCCAUUUGGAUUCAUCCUAUUCAGCGAUCUUAAGAGUCUAUGCAUAAGAAUGAACUUUGAUGGGAAGCCUCAAGGCCUACACCUAAGGCCCCACAAAGGCACCCAUUUGGGUUCGUUCUAUUCCUUGGAUUCGGGUAAUCAGAAAUAUAAUGGUUAGAAGACUUCUACAAUCACAAGAAUACAUAUGAUGUGUUCGAGUACUGGUUUAGUUAUGUAUGGGAAGCCUCAAGGCCUACAUUUAAGGCCCCACAAAGGCACCUGUUAUAACUAAACACGGUUUCUUGGAUACAUAUAUAUAUAUAUACAAUGAAAGAACGACAACCAUUUUACAUCUGCCAUGCUAAAGAU
This 464-nucleotide long non-coding RNA is filed under the name Malus domestica (apple). RNAcentral's name for it is "long non-coding RNA (MDOM_LNC015225)". The record is from RNAcentral. Lineage: Eukaryota; Viridiplantae; Streptophyta; Magnoliopsida; Rosales; Rosaceae.